AACUUCGGGAGAAGGGGGACCACGCCCGGUGAACACCUUUGCGGUGGGAGCUGGGGGUGGUCGCAGAGACCAGAGAGAAGCGACUGUUUACUAAAAACACAGGUCCGUGCGAAGACGUAAGUCGAUGUAUACGGACUGACGCCUGCCCGGUGCUGGAAGGUUAAGAGGACCGGUUAGCCGCAAGGCGAAGCUGAGAAUUUAAGCCCCAGUAAACGGCGGUGGUAACUAUAACCAUCCUAAGGUAGCGAAAUUCCUUGUCGGGUAAGUUCCGACCUGCACGAAUGGCGUAACGACUUCUCUGCUGUCUCGACCACAGACUCGGCGAAAUUGCAUUACGAGUAAAGAUGCUCGUUACGCGCGGCAGGACGAAAAGACCCCGGGACCUUUACUAUAGCUUGGUAUUGGCGUUCGAUUCGGUUUGUGUAGGAUAGGUGGGAGACUGUGAAGCAUGCACGCCAGUGUGUGUGGAGUCGUUGUUGAAAUACCACUCUGAUCGUAUUGGACGUCUAACCUCGGCCCAUGAUCUGGGUUAGGGACAGUGCCUGGUGGGUAGUUUAACUGGGGCGGUUGCCUCCCAAAGAGUAACGGAGGCGCCCAAAGGUUCCCUCAGCCUGGAUGGCAAUCAGGUGUUGAGUGCAAGUGCACAAGGGAGCUUGACUGUGAGACUGACACGUCGAGCAGGGACGAAAGUCGGGACUAGUGAUCCGGCACCGGCAUGUGGAAGCGGUGUCGCUCAACGGAUAAAAGGUACCCCGGGGAUAACAGGCUGAUCUUCCCCAAGAGUCCAUAUCGACGGGAUGGUUUGGCACCUCGAUGUCGGCUCGUCGCAUCCUGGGGCUGGAGUAGGUCCCAAGGGUUGGGCUGUUCGCCCAUUAAAGCGGCACGCGAGCUGGGUUUAGAACGUCGUGAGACAGUUCGGUCUCUAUCCGCCGCGCGCGUAAGAAACUUGCGGAAGGCUGUCCCUAGUACGAGAGGACCGGGACGGACGAACCUCUGGUGUGCCAGUUGUUCCACCAGGAGCAUCGCUGGUUAGCUACGUUCGGAAGGGAUAACCGCUGAAAGCAUCUAAGCGGGAAGCCUGUUCCAAGAUGAGGUUUCUCACCACCUUCGCGUGGUUAAGGCCCCCCACAGACCAUGGGGUUGAUAGGCCGGAACUGGAAGCGCAGCAAUGCGUGCAGGUGACCGGUACUAAUCGGCCGAGGACUUACACAU
This 1212-nucleotide non-coding RNA is filed under the name Callipepla squamata (scaled quail). RNAcentral's name for it is "Bacterial large subunit ribosomal RNA". It matches the Rfam family "Bacterial large subunit ribosomal RNA", at positions 1732 to 2925 of the family's 2925-position model. The record is from Rfam by way of RNAcentral. Lineage: Eukaryota; Metazoa; Chordata; Aves; Galliformes; Odontophoridae.